This 72-nucleotide transfer RNA is filed under the name Camelus ferus (Wild Bactrian camel). It matches the Rfam family "tRNA". From Rfam's summary of the family: Transfer RNA (tRNA) molecules are approximately 80 nucleotides in length. Their secondary structure includes four short double-helical elements and three loops (D, anti-codon, and T loops). Lineage: Eukaryota; Metazoa; Chordata; Mammalia; Artiodactyla; Camelidae. The record is from Rfam by way of RNAcentral.
GUGGGUAUAGCUCAGUGGUAGAGCACACGCUUAGCUUGCAUGAGGUCCUGGGUUCAAUCCCCACUUCCUUCC